Molecule: ribosomal RNA, 178 nt
Filed under: uncultured bacterium
Lineage: Bacteria
Description: partial 16S rRNA
Rfam family: Bacterial small subunit ribosomal RNA
Source: RNAcentral
GGGGCAUUUGGACACUGGGCGCAGCCUGAUCCAGCCAUGCCGCGUGAGUGAUGAAGGCCUUCGGGUUGUAAAGCUCUUUUGUCCGGAAAGAUAAGGACCGGGCCUAGUACAGUAAGGUCCGUGACGGCUCCGGACGAAUAAGCGCCGGCUAACUUCGUGCCAGCAGCCGCGGUAAUUA